AUUGAACGCUGGCGGCAGGCCUAACACAUGCAAGUCGAACGGUAACAGGAAACAGCUUGCUGUUUCGCUGACGAGUGGCGGACGGGUGAGUAAUGUCUGGGAAACUGCCUGAUGGAGGGGGAUAACUACUGGAAACGGUAGCUAAUACCGCAUAACGUCGCAAGACCAAAGAGGGGGACCCUCGGGCCUCUUGCCAUCGGAUGUGCCCAGAUGGGAUUAGCUUGUUGGUGGGGUAACGGCUCACCAAGGCGACGAUCCCUAGCUGGUCUGAGAGGAUGACCAGCCACACUGGAACUGAGACACGGUCCAGACUCCGACGGGAGGCAGCAGUGGGGAAUAUUGCACAAUGGGCGCAAGCCUGAUGCAGCCAUGCCGCGUGUAUGAAGAAGGCCUUCGGGUUGUAAAGUACUUUCAGCGGGGAGGAAGGGAGUAAAGUUAAUACCUUUGCUCAUUGACGUUACCCGCAGAAGAAGCACCGGCUAACUCCGUG
This 490-nucleotide ribosomal RNA is filed under the name uncultured bacterium. RNAcentral describes it as "partial 16S ribosomal RNA". It matches the Rfam family "Bacterial small subunit ribosomal RNA", at positions 30 to 507 of the family's 1533-position model. The record is from RNAcentral.